GGCCAUAGCUCAGUGGUAGAGCACCUGUUCCCCAUGCAGAAGGUCCCUGGUUCAACCCCCAGCAUCUCCAGGUAGGGCC
Molecule: non-coding RNA, 79 nt
Organism: Podarcis lilfordi (Lilford's wall lizard)
Lineage: Eukaryota; Metazoa; Chordata; Lepidosauria; Squamata; Lacertidae
Source: the annotation of a GenBank genome assembly